AAAUUCUCAAAGUUCACAAAACUCAAAAGAAAAUCGUAAAAAAAACCUGGAAAUCAAUUGGAAAGUUCUCUCGAAAAAAAAAACACAAAACAAAAAUCUGCAAAGUGAAGAGUGAUAAUAAUAUCGUUUUUAUAUCUUACAGGAACCCCAAGCCGAAGCAGGAGAGCAUAAGUACAGCGGAGAGAGAGAGAAGCCACUAUUAUGGAUCGCAAGACAUCUCGAAACCCAUAUCCAUUCCAAACGAGAAAAUUGUUAUGAAACUCAACAAAAUUCUCAAGUGUUUACUGCUCAUAAUUCUCUACUGCAAUGACCAUUGGCCGCCAUCCAUUCAUCCACCGAUUCUCCACCGAUUAAGCCACAAAAAGGGGCCGCCAGUGCCGCCACAUCGCCAGAUCCGCCACGAAAUUCAAAUCUUCAACGAAAUUCAACUCAAAAUCAACUCAAAGCCAAACUGCAGGCAUCUUCAGUCACUGCCACGCCCAUACGCCACCAACAGCACCGACGACAACGCCGCCUCCGCCCCAAGAGGAGGAGCAUUGUGCCCCAAGCAGCAAUCGAGGCCAGCAAAUCACUCAGAGUCCAGGCAGAAACUGCAAGGAAGGAAACCGAAAUUCAAGAAACCAGAAACCAAAUCGCAAACACAACGACAGCUCGGGGCAAAUACAGAAGAAGGCGCCAACGAUGUGUCGCUGUAUCGCUGAUGAUGAUGACAUCGAGAGCCGGCCACUCCAAGACGAGGAUCGAGCAUCUGAAGGCGACCGAAGGAGGCAAAAGGCAGCGCAAGGCAGCGACUGAGGCAGCAGCAGCAACAGCAGGCAGAGGCAGCGACGUCGUUAUCUAAGGCAGCGCUCCCCUUUCGCAGGGGAAAAAGCUGCCUUCCCCCGUUGCCACACACAGAUACGACGAGUAUCUAGAUAUUUAGCUGAAUAUCUAAGCAGCAGGGGCAGUGACUGCUGCCCCAUGCAACCCCUCGACAGGAAGGACACUCACACACACACACACACACGCACAAGCAUUACCACCCCAAGCAGGCGCUCCUGCGGCGAAUUCACACACAGGCGCACACCCCCUAAGCAGAACUCACGCACACACUCGCAGCCCACACAGAAACAGAGAGAGAGAGAGAGAGAGCAGAAAGCAGAAAGAGAGCGAGAGCUCACCUCAUCCGAUGGCGGCACAAAACACUUCAUCGCAAAAACUGAAAACCUAGAAAUCCAAAAUUCAAAUUUACAACUUUCGGCUCUCUCUGGCAAUCAUCAAAAUCUGAAAAACCACACAUCCAAAUUCCAACGAAAUUCCAAUAAAAUUUCACCACUGACCGGCCACAAAAUUAAAAAAAAAAAACCAGCUUAAAUUUAAUGCUUUCUACAAAAAAAAAAAAAAAAACACCUAGAACAACAGGUAAACCGAUUUUUAGCUCAAAAUAACCUUAAAGAACUCAAAAGAAAUCAUCUAAAUCCACAAAAAUACCCAAAAAGAAAAGCCGAAAGAACAAAAGAAAAAUAUUAUACAUCGAUGCUGAUGGCUGAACCAAAAGAAAACCAAAACAAAACCAAAUGAAAUUCAAAACCAAAACCGAAACCGAAACCAGUCAAAAACAACAACGAAAUCAAAUUCAAAAUUGCCAAAAAAAAUAUACAAAAAUUACCACAAAAGAAAACAAAAGUCCCGAAAUUCACGAAGAAUCCUUCGGUGCAUAAUUAUGGCCACAUUAUGAUGAUUAAGUACUACCGCGGACAGUUCUGAAACAAAAACAAAACCAAAAACGAAAACGAAAACCGAAAAAAAAGAAGAAAGAAAGAAAUUCCAGCAAAAUUCCAACAAGACAGGAUUAUAAAUUACAAGAAAUUGCGGAAGUUUUAAUGCGACAAAUGUCAGGAGCAAAAAGGAGCCCGCGCGCUGUGGCAGGCAGAAGACGCGAGCGACGGGGAGGACACCCAGGGAGGCCGAGGCCGAGGCCGCCACAAAAUGCUGGCAACUUUUCUGGCCCAAAAUCUUAUAAAUGGCGGCCGAGGGCGAGUCGAGUCGAGAGGCAGGGCGGCAGAUAAAUCACAGCGAAACAAAACAAUUCCCAGCUCUCUCCGCACAAAAACAAACCAGAACCAGAAUCGGUAUCCGAAUCCGAAUCAGUAGCAAAAUCCAGACCCAGAGACAAAGAACACGCGAUUUCAAAGAACUUUUUGCAUAGAACAAGAAGCAGAAAAUGAAGGGGUUGAAGGCAUAAACAAAAUUCAUAAACUAUAAAACCCAAAGCACAAGCACACACCGCCACAGAAGGCCCAAGAUGGACCACUUUGAUGGCCUCCCUGGAGAGAGGCUUCAAGAGCAUUACUUUCGCUCGAAGGCCGCCACACAAAAUAAAUACAAAGAUGAAUACUAUGAAAACUAUGAGAACUACAACUUAACCCAAAUUCAAUUCGAAAUCAAAAUCAGAAUCAGAAACGCAAACAAAAUGAAGGCAUCAGCCAGCACCCAGCAGAACUUUAAGUAAUAUUUUCGAGACGAGUGUCACACGCAAAAACCCGCCUCCCUCCUCCCCCCUCAAACUCCAGACACAGCCCCAGCUACCGUUCAGACCUUUCAAAUUGUGGUCAGGCGAGAGGUUUCUUUGGCAAAAGUUCGAACCAUCAUCGUCUAUACAUUCAGAACUCCACCAGCAGCAUCAGCAUCAGCAUCAGAGCAUCAUGCAGUUGAAAGCACAUCAAACAAAACUCCAAAUUUAUAUAAACUACUGGCAAUAGUCGAGGUCGAGGCAUAAUUGCCAUCAAUAAAUAAAAUAUGGCUGGGGCAGGGGAGCACCAGCACCAGCACCAGCCCAAGAGCAGACCCUGAACCGAGACACCAAUCCUGACAAUCCCUUUCCCAGAUACAGUAUAGUAUACAGCCCCAACUACAGCAGCAUCAGCACUCAAUGGCCACUAGACAGCAGCAAGGCAGAGCAGAGCAUUUUGAUUUAUAAAUUCAUGGCGAAAGUUGCCAGGCCAAGCGGCAGCCAACGCCACCACCCCACCAGAACCCGCCCCACACCACACCGCACCACACCACCCCAGUCAAUCGCCACACGAUGACGACACACACCACCAGCAACAACACCACCUAGAGACUUGGCAGCAAAGCAACAAGAAAAUGCAAAAACCGUCUUAUGAAAUUACACAUUUCCGACUUGUACUAACAGCAGCAGCAAAAACACCAACUAAAACAACAUCCAAGCCGAGGCCAAAACCGAACAUUUAGAAGCAGCAGACCCCUCCCGCCUCCCGACCCCCUUCAGACACAACACGGCGACAAUCCAGCCCAGAAAUUUAGUUAUGAAACCAUCAUCAUCCGGAGACCAGAAAACCUAGAAAACCAGCAGCAGGGGAACAGGAAAAUCGGAAGCAAAUCUUCCAAAUUUUUUUGGCUAGGAAAAUGCACGUUUCGGGCAAUUUGGAAAUUUGCAACAUCAUUGAGACGCGCAGCAGACGCGAGUAGCAACCACGAAGAGUAGCAAAUGGAAUCUUGUACAAUAGUUCUAUUGAAAGGCAUAUAAAACCCCCCCAUUUCCGACCCACGAUCUAUACGAGAUCUUAGAAAGAUAGAGAGAGACAGUUGGAGGAGAUAUACAUAGUGAAUAUAUAGAGAGAGAGAGACAAAAAGAGAGAUAGAGAUAGAUACAGUGCACAAACAGAGAGAUAGAAAACAAAAAAAAAGGAAGAACACAUUUCGGACACAAGGUGGGGAUACCUAGUGUAAUUGCUUAGUCCUAAGAGUGCUGCACUUGCAAGGAACCCAAGUGCAGGACUGACUGACCCAUGACCCACCACAGACCCCCCCACUCAUCCCCCCCAAAAUGUAUACCCUUUGGUCAGCUGAAACAAAAAAAUGAUCAGAAAUUUGAUUCAGUAACGCACGAAGCCAGGCCUAUCUAGACCCAAAAAAAAAGCAGAAAUCACCAAUCAGAUAUCUAAAUAAUUAAGCGUGAA
This is a long non-coding RNA of Drosophila pseudoobscura, 3962 nucleotides long. RefSeq lists it as uncharacterized. The transcript has 3 exons. Lineage: Eukaryota; Metazoa; Arthropoda; Insecta; Diptera; Drosophilidae. The record is from RefSeq and is a predicted model, not a curated record.